UACGUAGGGGGCAAGCGUUGUCCGGAUUUAUUGGGCGUAAAGAGCGUGUAGGCGGUCAGGUAGGUCUGGUGUGAAAACUCGAGGCUCAACCUCGAGACGUCGAUGGAAACCAUCUGGCUAGAGUCCGGAAGAGGAGAGUGGAAUUCCUGGUGUAGCGGUGAAAUGCGCAGAUAUCAGGAAGAACACCUAUGGCGAAGGCAGCUCUCUGGGACGGUACUGACGCUGAGACGCGAAAGCGUGGGGAGCAAACAGG
This 253-nucleotide ribosomal RNA is filed under the name uncultured bacterium. RNAcentral's name for it is "partial 16S ribosomal RNA". It matches the Rfam family "Bacterial small subunit ribosomal RNA", at positions 524 to 776 of the family's 1533-position model. The record is from RNAcentral.